CCUUUUACUCUACGAGUAACGGGUAUAAAAAUUCAGUUGAAUAGCGCAUAAAUGCUACCCUCUGAAAAAUUAUAAUAUUAUAUCAUAAGCUUUAGUGACUAAAAUAAAUUUUAAGGGAAUAUAAAGCACAAUACAUAAUUUGCGUAAGUCAUUUGUGUGGGUAGAAUAUUUCAAUUCAUAAAACAACAGUGAAGAAAAUAUAAGUCUAUUAACUUUUACUUCCCUUUCUUUAAGGCACUUUUGACUUCUUAUAUCGCCCUGAGAACUUUUCAAGGUUUAUGAGAAAGUCACUAUUGAAAGCAGCAGGGCCGUCAACGCUCAACUUGUUACUAUGAGAUGUAUCCAAAAUGACAGCUGUCACCUGUCUUUCAACAAAUUCUUAACGGAGAUAUUCCGGGUUCAACAUUUUGAUGGCAAAAGUCCCCUAAAUACUAUUAAACUUUGGGUAUGACGAAUUUAAAAAUGACAGUGUACAUAUAUUCUGAUAUAUGAGCUUUUUCAAUAAAAUCUAUUUAAGUUUGUUAUAUCAAGAGAUUGCCAUAAGAGAAAUGGAAUACAUUCAUUUUUCAUCCUCGGCCCAUCUUGGAAAUUAUUAAGCCGUCAAAAGGAACUUGUUUGGAGCUGGCUAUUGCAACGCCCAGUCUAGCGCCCUAGAAUAAGAUCCUUAAAUGCUGAAACUGGAAAUGAGAUUGCGAAACGAGUUUGAUGUAGAAUGUAUCGUUUUUGAUAAAAAAAAAGAAAGGUACAGCUUUAUGAAAAUGUGGUACCAAAACAUAAUUUGGUUUAAACCUAUGUUUCUUAACUUUUGGCUUGCAGACUGUAUUCACCUGAAGCGAAGAACGGUAGGGUUCUCAAAUGUGUUAAUUAACUAUAAUACAUACAUAUAAAUAAAUGAAAAAAAAACGAAUAAAAAUUGAUACAUCACUUAUUAUA
Drosophila yakuba is the source of this 933-nucleotide long non-coding RNA. RefSeq lists it as uncharacterized. The record is from RefSeq and is a predicted model, not a curated record. Lineage: Eukaryota; Metazoa; Arthropoda; Insecta; Diptera; Drosophilidae. The transcript has 2 exons.